GCCCAGCCAGCUCUGCCUCUCCUCUCUGCCGAUGCUCCUGACGCAGACAACUGCAGUGACUACGCCCUUCCUCAGCCCCCACACUCCUCAAAAAGUGCUUUUCUGGGUUUCCACGACUGCCUCCCUUCCUCCCCAAAACGAUUCUCCAUCCGAGGAAUAUUUGAAACAGCUGCUGCCCGUCCUAAUGUGCCAGGGCUGAGAUUGCUGCUGGAACUUCCCAGGGCUGCUGCAGUAACCCCGCCCCACUCCUGGGAAGAAGAUUCUAGGGAUGCCCCAGCUCAAGCUGCUGCUCCAACAGGACAGUCCUACACUACAGGUUUUGAUCCAGGCCAAAAGGGGUACGAUUGAUUCUGCAGUGCUCAGAUUCUGGAUGCAGUAUGAGGGGACAUCGUUCCUCUGCAGAUGUUACGGCUGCUGAAAUGAGGAAGAAGGAAAGGAAAGGAAAGGAAGAAAAGAAGGAAGAAAGAAAAGUCAGGAACCUGUUGAGGUUGUAACGACAAGGAAAUAUUCAAGAGGAAGCCUUUCAGAACCUUCAUACACUUGGUGAGAAUGUAAAUUCGUACGACCACUAUGGAGAACACUUUGGAGCUUCUUCAAAAAACUAAAAAUAGAGCUACCAUAUGGGGCGAUCCAGCAAUGCUCCCACUGGGUAGAGACCUGAAAGAAAGGAAAUCAGUAGGACAAAGAGAUAGCUGCACUCCUGUGUUUGCUGCAGCACUGUUCACUAUAGCCAAGAUUUGGAAGCAACCUAAGUGUUUACCAAUAGAUGAAUGCAUAUAGAAAAUGUGGUACAAAUACACAAUGGAGUAUUAUUCAGCCAUAAAAAAGAAUGAGAUCCUGUCAUUUGCAACAACAUAGAUGGAGCUAGGGAUCAUUAAGCUAAGUGAAAUAAGCAAGGCAAAGAAAGACAAGCAUCACAUGUUCUCACUUAUUUGUGGGAUACAAAAAUCAAAACAAUUGAAUUCAUGAACAUAAAGAGUAGAAGGAAGGUUACCAGAGGCUGGGAAGAGUAGUAGCAGGUGAGGGUGAGGUGGGGAUGGUUAAUGUUAAUGGGUACAGAAAAAAAAUAGAAUGAAUAAGACUUACUAUGUGAUAGCACGACAGGUUGACUAUAGUAAUAACUUAAUUGCACAUUUUAAAAUAACCAAAAGAAUAUAAUUGGAUUUUUUGCAACACAAAGGAUAAAUGCUUGAGGGGGUGUAAUUCUCAUUCUCCAUAUGUAAUUAUUACACAUUGCAUGCCGGCAUCAAAGCAUUUCACUUACCCAGUAAAUAUAUACACCUACUAUGUAUCCACAAAAUUAAAAAUAAAAAUUUGUUUAAAGAAUCUUUAAAAAUAAUGGCAAUGACAUAAUCAAAAUACUUCAUAAAUAAUUUAAUAUUGAUUACAUGUGGAAAUACUAUUUUUUAUAUAUUUAGUUAAAUAAAAAAAAUUCCAACUUCAAAAAAAAAAAAAGAAAUCUUUCAUUGUAGGGAAAAGUAGAAACAAAUCCUGAGGAAGACAUAAUUUUAUUGUCAUCUCUGUGGAGAUGUUCACUGAGAGUCUUGAAAAUGAGAUGCUUUCUGGGUAGAAAGAGACCAGAAGGGUGUAUGAUCCCAAGGGCUAAGAGAGUUUUGAGAUAAAAAGAAAUAAUCAGGCUGGGCACAGUGGCUCACGACUGUAAUCCCAGCACUUUGGAAGGCUGAGGCAGGCAGAUCACAAGGUCAGGAGUUCGAGACCAGCCUGACCAACACGGUGAAACCCCAUCUCUACUAAAAAUACAAAAAUUAGCUGGGUUUGGUAGUAUCCGCCUGUAAUCCCAG
This 1802-nucleotide long non-coding RNA is filed under the name Homo sapiens (human). RNAcentral describes it as "HSALNT0134351". The record is from RNAcentral. Lineage: Eukaryota; Metazoa; Chordata; Mammalia; Primates; Hominidae.